CAUGAAACAACGUCUGUUCUUCUUCGCAUUCUUCUUUAUCUUCCCCAUCUCGGGGGGGCGAUUCGUCAUAUAAGAAGCACGCGAAGACGAAUAAGCAGGCCUCCCCAAACCGGGAGGCCUUUUUUAU
Regulatory RNA element from Mangrovibacter sp. MFB070, 127 nucleotides. It matches the Rfam family "Phenylalanine leader peptide". The record is from Rfam. NCBI's taxonomy places the organism in Bacteria, Pseudomonadati, Pseudomonadota, Gammaproteobacteria, Enterobacterales, Enterobacteriaceae.